UGUAGCUUAGUAGUAGAGCACUUGCCUAGCAUGCAAGAGGUCCUGGGUUCCAUCCCCAGCA
Molecule: transfer RNA, 61 nt
Filed under: Urocitellus parryii (Arctic ground squirrel)
Lineage: Eukaryota; Metazoa; Chordata; Mammalia; Rodentia; Sciuridae
Also listed under: 2 other names
Description: Spermophilus parryii (Arctic ground squirrel) tRNA
Rfam family: tRNA
About the family: Transfer RNA (tRNA) molecules are approximately 80 nucleotides in length. Their secondary structure includes four short double-helical elements and three loops (D, anti-codon, and T loops). Further hydrogen bonds mediate the characteristic L-shaped molecular structure. tRNAs have two regions of fundamental functional importance: the anti-codon, which is responsible for specific mRNA codon recognition, and the 3' end, to which the tRNAs corresponding amino acid is attached (by aminoacyl-tRNA synthetases). tRNAs cope with the degeneracy of the genetic code in two manners: having more than one tRNA (with a specific anti-codon) for a particular amino acid; and 'wobble' base-pairing, i.e. permitting non-standard base-pairing at the 3rd anti-codon position.
Source: Rfam by way of RNAcentral